UUUCUGCAGAGGUUUGGUGUUCCUGGGUUUGGGGUGAAGCUUUCUGCAGAGGUUUGGUGUUACUGGGUUUGGGGUGAAGCUUUCUGCAGAGGUUUGGUGUUCCUGGGUUUGGGGUGAAGCUUUCUGCAGAGGUUUGGUGUUCCUGGGUUUGGGGUGAAGCUUUCUGCAGAGGUUUGGUGUUCCUGGGGUUGGGGUGAAGCUUUCUGAAAUUUUAUGGUGGCAUUCUGUGUGCCAUGGCUGUCUCAGCUGUGGCAUGUGCCGUGACAUUACACCCCAUGAACUCCUGGAUGCUACAAAACCUCAUCAGUUUUUUACUGCUGGAGAUUUUUGUCAUGCCUUCUCUAGGUUUGGGGGUUUUUAUUCAUCUCCAGAGUUCUUCCUUUCUUUGUUGUAUGCUGAACUGAUUAGUGAGGUUGCUAACCUGCAGGUGAGACUUGUUUUCUUUGAAAGGAGACUCAGGCUAGAUAGGGGAGGAGCUGCUUCUUGAUCUCUUUCUUCACCCUUGGCUGCUGAUAAGCCUUGGAGGGGCAGGGGAGGAUUGCUCCUCCCCAGGGAGGAUGAGCAUGCACAGGUGAGGAGAGUUAGAGUGGGAUGCUGGAGAGGCCAGAGAGUGGGACAGAGGAUGUGAGAGGCAGGUUGGAGAGAAAGAAGCUGAAGAGGAGUAGGAAACUUCUGUGCCAAGGAGCUGCUGCACUGUCCUGGAGAUGGUAGAAAUUGUGAAGAUCUGGAGGUUUGGUUCAGCCAGCACUUCUCUGUGGUAAAGGAUUAUGGAAAAGUUUCAGCCUUCAGGAACAGCACUCAAGAGUUGCAGGGUGAUUCUGAGACCUGAUAUUGAGUUCAACAUUGAGUUAUUGAACUGCAGUUGGAUAUCCUGCACUGUUUUAUGAAGUAUUUAUCCAAGUCAGUGACUUCUGCUGAUAACUGAACACCAAAAAACUACUCCUCCUUCCUCUUAGCACUCCACAGAAAAACACAGGUUAAAGUGGUUUAUCUGCAAAGCAUUUACUGAGAUAUGGGCAUUGAAUAAGGUCAUCAAGAACUACUGCUGGCAAUGAACAGCACAGGACAAGAAAAUCUCUGUUACUGCCUAAGGAAUCUACUGCAUCAAAAAAUAAAUAUAUAUAU
This is a long non-coding RNA of Serinus canaria (Common canary), 1125 nucleotides long. RefSeq lists it as uncharacterized. The transcript has 4 exons. Lineage: Eukaryota; Metazoa; Chordata; Aves; Passeriformes; Fringillidae. The record is from RefSeq and is a predicted model, not a curated record.